Long non-coding RNA from Musa acuminata AAA Group (dessert banana), 1654 nucleotides. RefSeq lists it as uncharacterized. Lineage: Eukaryota; Viridiplantae; Streptophyta; Magnoliopsida; Zingiberales; Musaceae. The transcript is spliced from 3 exons. The record is from RefSeq and is a predicted model, not a curated record.
AAGCCGUCCACUGGACAGCGAGAUGAAUGCAUGCAUGGCCUGAAGGGUCGCAGAGGUGAGUGAGCUCAUCGGAGGUUGACAGAAGAGAGUGAGCACCCAUGGUGUUUUCUUGCAUGGAAAGGGAGAGACAGAGUCCAUGCUCCAAAGCUAUGCGUGCUCGCUCCUCUAUCUGUCAGCCACCACCGGUCGAUGCCGUCUUCCGGUUGUACUUUCCUUGCUACUAACCCUACACCUUGAUUCAUUAUUUGACUUGCAAUGAAGAACAGAUGGCCGAAGAUCACUGGAACUGUUCUUUUCUUACUGCAACAUUUUGAGCAGUACUACGGGCUUUAUGAUUCUUAGAAGUUGAUCGGUUCUGUCUCAAAUCAAGCUUGGUUGGGAUCAGGAUUUUUAUGAUCAACCCACUCAGAUUCUAUGUGAUCUAUUGUCUCGAACUUAUCUUUGACAUCAAAGACCGCUGUUUUCAUCUUCAAGCCUAACUAAGCCCUGUUGAGUUGUGUAUGUCUAAGAAAACUAGCAAUAGAAGAAACCAUCUGGCGACCUUUUGAUGACAAAAUAGUUGUCUUGGUGGCUAAAUCUUUCCAUCUUUUUUUUUUCCCUCAUAUUUGUUGGGGUUGAAAAUUUGAAGCCUAUUUCUUGGACAAACUGGACAGUCUCCGUAGCGGUUGACUUUUGAGAUUCCAAGUCAAAUCCUGUUGACAAUAACUAAAACCACAAGGACAACACACAAAACCUGUGUGCUACGGGACAGGACACAGAUUUUUGGAUUAGGUCUGGCCUUGAGAGAAGAAAAGGAAGAAGAAGAAGAAGAAAAAGUGGUAUAUCCAUCCAAUUCCCCCAUUUCCUCUAUCGUUUUCAUCCUGUUGGAGGCCAAGGAUCUAAAAACGGGCAGCAGAUGGUGGAACGCGAUUCAAAGUGGAUGCAACAGCGCAGGCGGCGGGUUCUUCUUCUUCUUCUUCUUCUUCUUCUUCUUCUUCUUCUUCUUCUUCUUUGCGUGAGGAGUCGGCUGAUGGCGUUGGUCGAUAGGGCGGCGGGAGACAGACGGAGUUGCUCGUAAGGAGGAGAACUCUUGCUCUCACGCCCGCCCUCUCUCUCUCUCUCUCUGCUUCUCGUCCUCGUUCUUCUGCAGAUUUUGUAGAAGAAGUUGAUAUCGGAAGGAACGCAGGCGAAUGAGACAAUGGUUUCCCCUUAUCAAAGAACAAGAAUGAGGCCGUCCCUGUCCGCGGCGCCCAAUGCUACAGAACAACGAGCACUCGGACGCGUAAGAACGGAGAUGAAGAAGAGGAAAACAGAGGAAUCGAAGAUUGAAGGCCGGAAGCGAGAUCGCGCAGAUUGAGGUUGUCUUGCGGCUUGUUGAUGCUCAUUCGUCGCUCACCGAUGCCGUUCCGCUUCCUCCUCUUCGGGAUCGAGAUCGACAUCGAGAUGCACGGAGCAAAGAACCUAAACAGCGUUAACGCUACACCACAAAGGGGACAGCAGAGGGAAAGAAGACUCAGAUGGGAGAGAUUUAUAGCAUAUAACGUUUGAAAUUAACGGUAUACGUCUCGACAGUGUAUAACGUGCAUGCCGAAAGUUUUAUUUGCUGUAACAUAUAUCAGUGCGUCACAAGCACGUGCUGUUCACAUUAAAAUGCACGUACAUGGAGUUCAUUCAA